RNAcentral lists this ribosomal RNA (523 nucleotides) under uncultured bacterium. RNAcentral describes it as "bacterial SSU rRNA". It matches the Rfam family "Bacterial small subunit ribosomal RNA", at positions 365 to 908 of the family's 1533-position model. The record is from RNAcentral.
UGGACAAUGGCGAGCUGACGGAGCACGCCGCGUGAGGGUGAAGGCCUCUGGGCUGUAAACCUCUUUUAUCAAGGAAGAAGAUCUGACGGUACUUGAUGAAUAAGCCACGGCUAAUUCCGUGCCAGCAGCCGCGGUAAUACGGGAGUGGCAAGCGUUAUCCGGAAUUAUUGGGCGUAAAGCGUCCGCAGGCGGCCCUUCAAGUCUGCUGUUAAAAAGUGGAGCUUAACUCCAUCAUGGCAGUGGAAACUGUUGGGCUUGAGUGUGGUAGGGGCAGAGGGAAUUCCCGGUGUAGCGGUGAAAUGCGUAAAUAUCGGGAAGAACACCAGUGGCGAAGGCGCUCUGCUGGGCCAUCACUGACGCUCAUGGACGAAAGCCAGGGGAGCGAAAGGGAUUAAAUACCCCUGUAGUCCUGGCCGUAAACGAUGAACACUAGGUGUCGGGGGAAUCGACCCCCUCGGUGUCGUAGCCAACGCGUUAAGUGUUCCGCCUGGGGAGUACGCACGCAAGUGUGAAACUCAAGAAA